RNAcentral lists this ribosomal RNA (273 nucleotides) under uncultured Staphylococcus sp. RNAcentral describes it as "partial 16S ribosomal RNA". It matches the Rfam family "Bacterial small subunit ribosomal RNA", at positions 524 to 796 of the family's 1533-position model. The record is from RNAcentral. Lineage: Bacteria; Bacillati; Bacillota; Bacilli; Caryophanales; Staphylococcaceae.
UACGUAGGUGGCAAGCGUUAUCCGGAAUUAUUGGGCGUAAAGCGCGCGUAGGCGGUUUUUUAAGUCUGAUGUGAAAGCCCACGGCUCAACCGUGGAGGGUCAUUGGAAACUGGAAAACUUGAGUGCAGAAAAGGAAAGUGGAAUUCCAUGUGUAGCGGUGAAAUGCGCAGAGAUAUGGAGGAACACCAGUGGCGAAGGCGACUUUCUGGUCUGUAACUGACGCUGAUGUGCGAAAGCGUGGGGAUCAAACAGGAUUAGAUACCCGAGUAGUCC